GAAUGCUGACAUAAGUAACGAUAAAGCGGGUGAAAAGCCCGCUCGCCGGAAGACCAAGGGUUCCUGUCCAACGUUAAUCGGGGCAGGGUGAGUCGACCCCUAAGGCGAGGCCGAAAGGCGUAGUCGAUGGGAAACGGGUUAAUAUUCCCGUACUUGGUGUUACUGCGAAGGGGGGACGGAGAAGGCUAUGUUGGCCGGGCGACGGUUGUCCCGGUUUAAGCGUGUAGGUGUGUGUUCCAGGUAAAUCCGGUUCACUUUAACACUGAGGCGUGAUGACGAGGCACUACGGUGCUGAAGUAACAAAUGCCCUGCUUCCAGGAAAAGCCUCUAAGCAUCAGGUAACAUCAAAUCGUACCCCAAACCGACACAGGUGGUCAGGUAGAGAAUACCAAGGCGCUUGAGAGAACUCGGGUGAAGGAACUAGGCAAAAUGGUGCCGUAACUUCGGGAGAAGGCACGCUGACACGUAGGUGAAGUGAUUUACUCACGGAGCUGAAGUCAGUCGAAGAUACCAGCUGGCUGCAACUGUUUAUUAAAAACACAGCACUGUGCAAACACGAAAGUGGACGUAUACGGUGUGACGCCUGCCCGGUGCCGGAAGGUUAAUUGAUGGGGUCAGCGCAAGCGAAGCUCCUGAUCGAAGCCCCGGUAAACGGCGGCCGUAACUAUAACGGUCCUAAGGUAGCGAAAUUCCUUGUCGGGUAAGUUCCGACCUGCACGAAUGGCGUAAUGAUGGCCAGGCUGUCUCCACCCGAGACUCAGUGAAAUUGAACUCGCUGUGAAGAUGCAGUGUACCCGCGGCAAGACGGAAAGACCCCGUGAACCUUUACUAUAGCUUGACACUGAACAUUGAGCCUUGAUGUGUAGGAUAGGUGGGAGGCUUUGAAGUGUGGACGCCAGUCUGCAUGGAGCCGACCUUGAAAUACCACCCUUUAAUGUUUGAUGUUCUAACGUGGACCCGUUACCCGGGUUGCGGACAGUGUCUGGUGGGUAGUUUGACUGGGGCGGUCUCCUCCUAAAGAGUAACGGAGGAGCACGAAGGUUGGCUAAUCCUGGUCGGACAUCAGGAGGUUAGUGCAAUGGCAUAAGCCAGCUUGACUGCGAGCGUGACGGCGCGAGCAGGUGCGAAAGCAGGUCAUAGUGAUCCGGUGGUUCUGAAUGGAAGGGCCAUCGCUCAACGGAUAAAAGGUACUCCGGGGAUAACAGGCUGAUACCGCCCAAGAGUUCAUAUCGACGGCGGUGUUUGGCACCUCGAUGUCGGCUCAUCACAUCCUGGGGCUGAAGUAGGUCCCAAGGGUAUGGCUGUUCGCCAUUUAAAGUGGUACGCGAGCUGGGUUUAGAACGUCGUGAGACAGUUCGGUCCCUAUCUGCCGUGGGCGCUGGAGAACUGAGGGGGGCUGCUCCUAGUACGAGAGGACCGGAGUGGACGCAUCACUGGUGUUCGGGUUGUCAUGCCAAUGGCACUGCCCGGUAGCUAAAUGCGGAAGAGAUAAGUGCUGAAAGCAUCUAAGCACGAAACUUGCCCCGAGAUGAGUUCUCCCUGAGACUUUAGGUCUCCUGAAGGAACGUUGAAGACGACGACGUUGAUAGGCCGGGUGUGUAAGCGCAGCGAUGCGUUGAGCUAACCGGUACUAAUGAACCGUGAGGCUUAACCUU
RNAcentral lists this ribosomal RNA (1655 nucleotides) under Salmonella enterica subsp. enterica serovar Berta. RNAcentral's name for it is "partial 23S ribosomal RNA". It matches the Rfam family "Bacterial large subunit ribosomal RNA", at positions 1292 to 2925 of the family's 2925-position model. The record is from RNAcentral. Lineage: Bacteria; Pseudomonadati; Pseudomonadota; Gammaproteobacteria; Enterobacterales; Enterobacteriaceae. RNAcentral also lists the same sequence under 1 other name.